GGCCGCAUAGUCGAGUGGUUAUGACGGGAGCCUUUCAAGCUUCAGGUGUCGGGUUCAAUUCCCACUGCGGUCA
Molecule: transfer RNA, 73 nt
Filed under: Enterocloster aldenensis
Lineage: Bacteria; Bacillati; Bacillota; Clostridia; Lachnospirales; Lachnospiraceae
Description: [Clostridium] aldenense tRNA-Glu
Rfam family: tRNA
About the family: Transfer RNA (tRNA) molecules are approximately 80 nucleotides in length. Their secondary structure includes four short double-helical elements and three loops (D, anti-codon, and T loops).
Source: RNAcentral